RNAcentral lists this unclassified non-coding RNA (2230 nucleotides) under Neodiprion pinetum (white pine sawfly). RNAcentral's name for it is "uncharacterized LOC124218958, transcript variant X2". Lineage: Eukaryota; Metazoa; Arthropoda; Insecta; Hymenoptera; Diprionidae. The record is from RNAcentral.
UUGCCAUCUGACUAUGCCAGUAAAAAAACGGCGGAACUAUUUUUGCCGCUAUAAAGUGGGCGGGAAUCUGUCAAAGUCCCGAGCAAUUGCGAAUUUCAUAUUCGUUAUUGCGAACUAGUAGGUGAACAGUGUUCAGAGAUUUUGAAACAUUUGCGUACACCCGUGGCAGCAUCAAAUAUCUCGAAUCCCAAACGAAGGCGUGAAUUCGAAUGAUGCGGAAAUUAGAAAAAGGAAGCAUUUCAGAAUUAUAAGCAUAAUUGCUAAAAAUAUCGCGUCUAGGAAAAUUUUCCUCUGAAAGCCAGAUGGUUCAGCGCAAUUUUGACUGGCUUCAAUAACUUCGCUUCAAAGGCAUGCCGCAUCGUAUUCCAAACACUAUAUUUGAUACGUUCUGCAGUAGAGUAAAAUUAAGUUCUCUAUAUCUCACUGUGUAGAGGUGGGAGUAAUGCCAACAAGAAGUAUACGCUCAAAAAAUACGCUCAGGACGUGCCACGCAGUGUGUAGCAAACACUUCGUGAGAAUGGCAUGAGGGAAAACGUUGGAAAAAGAUGCUAACGAGGAUCACAUAAACCACGAAAGUGUUGAGACAACCCUUUCGAAUUCCCACUUAUUCCCCAAUUCCAUGCCAGACAAAACUGUCGUUGCUUCUCUACCUGGAUUACGCGAAUCCGACAGAUGGGUCGUACUUUCGGUUAGUGGAGACGGUGUCAUCUUGGCCCUUGAGCUUGCUAGAGUGUUUGAAAAGCUGAGGGAUGCACAUAACUGGAAUCCACGGAGAAGGAUAGUUUUCUGCUUCUCCAACGAGUUUGGUCGGGAUUCGUGUCGCGACAAUCUACCGAAAUACGCACACCAUAAGAUAGUGGCCUAUUUAACAGUCCAUGGAAACGCCAUACAGAAGAACGGGUGCUUCGUAGCCCCAGGAUCAGACGUGGUGAGAUCGUCGGUAUUUGAAGCAGUUCAGACAGUUCAGGAUACAAUUUCUGCCCAAGACCUAACAAGUACUCGCAGAAUUUUCAACUGGUGCCAAAAGGAACCUGAUGACGGGCUAUUUUUGCCUAGACUUCCCUCAGACAUACCGCAUGCCUCACUCGCAUUAUUAGCAGCAACCAACACUAGUGUCAAUGCUGACUAUGAAACAGCGACCCCGUACCGUAGAUCUUUUUUUCAAAUUAUCGGUCUUACUAUCUGGAGACUUUCGAACAGUCCGAUUCUUCACUGGGAUCCGAAAUACUUCGAACGCGACGUCAAAGCAGCCUUGAAGAUGAUCGAUUCUCCAGGAUUCGUCCAAGUUAAAGAGAAGAUUACAUCGACUGUGCAUAAAAUAGUCAAUAGAGCUUACAACUUGAAUCGAAACAUAAACGAGAUCGAGGAGCCUGACUCACUGUCAGCACGAGUGAUGAACGACUUGGUAAUGGAUUUGGAUCGAGCACUGCUGUGCCCAGACGGUAAUUUAGCGUCAAAAACUGACCCAGCUUUAAUCAAACGUGGGCUGGUGGAUUCGGAAAUGCUCGAUGAUAUGCUCAAUUGCUAUGAGAAUGUAGUUCAAGUUUUGCAGGAAGGGUGACUUCCAAGUUUUCUGAAUGCCCAGUGAAUGAAUAACAAGCCACCGUCGACAGUAAUGUGUUUUAAAAAGGGUACCGUCGAUGGCUUGGCAAUUUGGAUUGAAAACAGAGUAGGCGCUAAUCUCGCCCUUCUUCUUUGGACCAGACCGAGUGUUCUUCCAUAUUAGUACUAAGGAUGACACGAUAAAGUAUACGGCGCCGAAUUCGAACUGAAGUGCUAUCAUGUAAAGCGUUGCCCACAGAAGGAAGUACAGCAGGUAAGUGACUUGCGUCAAUACCGGAUUCUCUGCCGGCGUCAAAUCCAGACUCUCUUCAGACUGACUGCUCUCUAUGUCUUCCCUAUCCUGGAACCUUACAAUUCUUAAUGUUGCAGUACUGUUGACGCUGUUCUGUAUUUCAAGUGUUAUAACAAUAGGCGUGUAUAAUUUAUGAUAAUGAAAUAGUCUUUUCCUUCAGUUUUCCGAGCAUAGUGCAUAGAAAUAUAAGUGAAAGCGUGUAAAUUCCUACUACACAGAAGACUGAAGAGAAGUAGCCGUCAAGUUGUAACCAUGAUUAAGUGUAAAUGUUUGCAGUUAUCUCGAAAAGUGUUGUUUGUUGUUACAAAACCGAGCAAACAAAUAACAAUGUGAUGAAAAUACAGAUUGGGUGAGUGAGGAAAUGAGAAGGCGAGA